Molecule: ribosomal RNA, 602 nt
Filed under: uncultured bacterium
Lineage: Bacteria
Description: bacterial SSU rRNA
Rfam family: Bacterial small subunit ribosomal RNA
Source: RNAcentral
AGUCGAACGGCAGCACGGGAGCAAUCCUGGUGGCGAGUGGCGAACGGGUGAGUAAUAUAUCGGAACGUGCCCAGUCGUGGGGGAUAACGCAGCGAAAGCUGUGCUAAUACCGCAUACGAUCUCUGGAUGAAAGCGGGGGACUCGUAAGAGCCUCGCGCGAUUGGAGCGGCCGAUAUCAGAUUAGCUAGUUGGUGGGGUAAAGGCCCACCAAGGCGACGAUCUGUAGCUGGUCUGAGAGGACGACCAGCCACACUGGAACUGAGACACGGUCCAGACUCCUACGGGAGGCAGCAGUGGGGAAUUUUGGACAAUGGGCGCAAGCCUGAUCCAGCAAUGCCGCGUGCAGGAUGAAGGCCUUCGGGUUGUAAACUGCUUUUGUACGGAACGAAAAGGUUUGCCUUAAUACGGUGGGCCCAUGACGGUACCGUAAGAAUAAGCACCGGCUAACUACGUGCCAGCAGCCGCGGUAAUACGUAGGGUGCGAGCGUUAAUCGGAAUUACUGGGCGUAAAGCGUGCGCAGGCGGUUAUAUAAGACAGAUGUGAAAUCCCCGGGCUCAACCUGGGACCUGCAUUUGUGACUGUAUAGCUAGAGUACGGUAGA